RNAcentral lists this ribosomal RNA (253 nucleotides) under uncultured bacterium. Its description in RNAcentral is "partial 16S ribosomal RNA". It matches the Rfam family "Bacterial small subunit ribosomal RNA", at positions 524 to 776 of the family's 1533-position model. The record is from RNAcentral.
GACGGAGGAUGCAAGCAUUAUCCGGAAUGAUUGGGCGUAAAGCGUCCGCAGGUGGCAGUUCAAGUCUGCUGUCAAAGACCGGGGCUUAACUUCGGAAAGGCAGUGGAAACUGAACAGCUAGAGUAUGGUAGGGGCAGAGGGAAUUCCUGGUGUAGCGGUGAAAUGCGUAGAGAUCAGGAAGAACAUCGGUGGCGAAGGCGCUCUGCUGGACCAUAACUGACACUCAGGGACGAAAGCUAGGGGAGCGAAUGGG